RNAcentral lists this ribosomal RNA (497 nucleotides) under uncultured Anaerococcus sp. Its description in RNAcentral is "bacterial SSU rRNA". It matches the Rfam family "Bacterial small subunit ribosomal RNA", at positions 8 to 507 of the family's 1533-position model. Lineage: Bacteria; Bacillati; Bacillota; Tissierellia; Tissierellales; Peptoniphilaceae. The record is from RNAcentral.
AGAGUUUGAUCCUGGCUCAGGAUAAACGCUGGCGGCGUGACAUAACACAUGCAAGUCGAACGAUGAAACUUAGAUGAUUUCUUCGGAAUGAACUUAGUGGAUUAGUGGCGAACGGGUGAGUAACACGUGAGUAACCUGCCUUACACAAGGGGAUAGCCCCUGGAAACGGAGAAAUAAUACCCUAUAAAGUCUAAUCAGCACAUGCUGGAAAGACCAAAGAUUUAUCGGUGUAAGAUGGACUUGCGUCUGAUUAGCUAGUUGGUGAGAUAAAAGCUCACCAAGGCGACGAUCAGUAGCCGGCUUGAGAGAGUGUACGGCCACAUUGGGACUGAGACACGGCCCAAACUCCUACGGGAGGCAGCAGUGGGGAAUUUUGCACAAUGGGGGAAACCCUGAUGCAGCGACGCCGCGUGAUUUAGAAGGCCUUCGGGUUGUAAAAAUCUUUUUACGGGAUGAAAAUGACAGUACCGUAAGAAUAAGGUCCGGCUAAAUACGUG